CGCUCUGCGGCCGAUGACAGCACGGCUGCUGAGCCUCUGAUUGCUUAAUCUCAAAGUACACCCCCUGAUGGACCGUGG
Small nucleolar RNA from Eubalaena glacialis (North Atlantic right whale), 78 nucleotides. RefSeq annotates it as small nucleolar RNA U105B. The transcript has a single exon. Lineage: Eukaryota; Metazoa; Chordata; Mammalia; Artiodactyla; Balaenidae. The record is from RefSeq and is a predicted model, not a curated record.